RNAcentral lists this ribosomal RNA (468 nucleotides) under uncultured bacterium. RNAcentral's name for it is "partial 16S ribosomal RNA". It matches the Rfam family "Bacterial small subunit ribosomal RNA", at positions 28 to 507 of the family's 1533-position model. The record is from RNAcentral.
GACGAACGCUGGCGGCGUGCUUAACACAUGCAAGCCGAACGGAAAGGCCCUGCUUUUGUGGGGUGCUCGAGUGGCGAACGGGUGAGUAACACGUGAGUAACCUGCCCUUGACUUUGGGAUAACUUCAGGAAACUGGGGCUAAUACCGGAUAGGAGCUCCUGCUGCAUGGUGGGUGUUGGAAAGUUUCGGCGGUUGGGGAUGGACUCGCGGCUUAUCAGCUUGUUGGUGGGGUAGUGGCUUACCAAGGCUUUGACGGGUAGCCGGCCUGAGAGGGUGACCGGCCACAUUGGGACUGAGAUACGGCCCAGACUCCUACGGGAGGCAGCAGUGGGGAAUAUUGCACAAUGGGCGGAAGCCUGAUGCAGCAACGCCGCGUGCGGGAUGACGGCCUUCGGGUUGUAAACCGCUUUCGCCUGUGACGAAGCGUGAGUGACGGUAAUGGGUAAAGAAGCACCGGCUAACUACGUG